This is a small nucleolar RNA of Cavia porcellus (domestic guinea pig), 136 nucleotides long. Ensembl annotates it as small nucleolar RNA U109. Lineage: Eukaryota; Metazoa; Chordata; Mammalia; Rodentia; Caviidae. The record is from Ensembl.
AGGCAUGUGGAAAUGCCUUCUUCUCAUGCCUUGUGGAGCAGGAAUAUAUCCAUGACAUGCUACAUUAAAAAAAGGAGUUUUCAGGGCUGCCAACCUUACAGUAGAGGUUGAGUGGUAGUAUAUUUCUCCUACAUUA